GACGAACGCUGGCGGCGUGCUUAACACAUGCAAGUCGUACGGUAAGGCCCUUUCUUUGGUACACGCUCGGCUGACGGGUGGGUAACUCGUAAGCGACCUGCCCUCCCCUUUCUGUUAACUGCCUUCAACGGAGUGUAAUACCUGCUAGAACUUACUCCCUCAUGCGUGGUGGUGGAAAGCCUGCGGGUGGGGGGGGAUGGGCUCGCGGUCUAUCAGCUUGUUGGUGGGGUGUUGGCCUACCAAGGCUUCGACGGGUAGCCGGCCUGAGAGGGUGACCGGCCACACUGGGACUGAGACACGGCCCAGACUCCUACGGGAGGCAGCAGUGGGGAAUAUUGGACAAUGGGCGAAAGCCUGAUCCAGCAACGCCGCGUGAGGGAUGACGGCCUUCGGGUUGUAAACCUCUUUCGCCUGCGACGAAGCGAGAGUGACGGUAGCAGGUAAAGAAGCACCGGCCAACUACGUG
This 466-nucleotide ribosomal RNA is filed under the name uncultured bacterium. RNAcentral's name for it is "partial 16S ribosomal RNA". It matches the Rfam family "Bacterial small subunit ribosomal RNA", at positions 28 to 507 of the family's 1533-position model. The record is from RNAcentral.